CAGAGGCACCAGGCACCCCAGAGAGCAUGCCGUUUGACUCAUCUCUUUACAGCUAGAAAACUGAGGCCUCCCGAAGUGCCACGUGUCCUUGAAGGCCUCCACAGCUGAUUGGCCACCCACAGACACCUGACCCAGGCUGGGCCGACCCUAUCUAUUAUCUCCUCCGGAGAUUUCUGGGAUGGAAGACCCCAGAGCCUGUGGCGUUAGCUGUGGGAGCGGAGCUGCGAGGUCAGGAGACUCGGGGCGGAUGCUCCCACCAUUCUGAAACAACCACAAAGGGCUUUGUGCAAAAAGACGUGUGACCAGAAGUCAGGCUGUGGAGAAAGAGAAGGAAGAAGCCCUGCAGGGAAUGAGAGGCCACGAGGUCCCUCUCCACCAGUGAGGCGGGCAGGUGAGCUCCACCAUCCCCACCAGCACACCCUCCCAGGCCUCCUCCGCUUCCCCGUUCCCAGCACCCACAGCCACGCCUUGAUUCCAGAGUUCCUGCCUCUCCACCAUCAACGCAAGCGAUAUCCCUUCGCCUGCCACACGUCUGGCCGCAAGCUGGUAGGCCCCGCGCCCCGGAUGGGACUGUCAAUCAUAUGGCCCCCACCGCCCCAGCCCAGGUUGACCAAUCAAAACGUUCCGAUGCCAGCGGGCUCCGUGAUUGGCAGGGGAGGGGGUGGGCACAGGACCCAGGCCGACAGGCCCUCCUGUUGCUCCAGAGGAAGACUGACAGGUCCAAGGUCAGGCCUGGGUCGCACGGCCCGCCGCCGCCCCCAGCCUUCGCCUCCGAGGUCUCCGUGGCAGCGGCAAAAACAAAGAUGGCGGACCGUUCCGGCCGUCGACCCCGUUAGCGCGGUGACGUACAUCACUUCCUCUCAAAGCCUAUUGGCCAGAACUAGUCACAUGGCCCGCCUAGCUGCAAGGGAGGCUGGAAACAGGAGACGGCCUUUCAGUCCUGGAUGAGGAUGCGCCGGCUGCUGGGAGCCACUGGAGACCCCAGGAAAACGCCCCAACUCCUCAGGACUGCGUUCAGAGGAGGAGAGACGCCACUGAUAGCUGGGACUCCAGCGUGCCCUUAUGACCUUGUGGGAGAUCUCUGAAGUUUGAGGAAGGUUUGCAAGUGAGAGCAGGAUGGACCUUCCAAACCUGCCUCUCAGCACGGGCACCAGCUCCCCCCUAGAGAUGAUGUGACCCCUAAGAAGAGAGAGGAUAAAUCUACAGAGUACACAGCAGGGUGGCAGUUACCUGUCCUGCUGCUCAGAUGAGGGAACUGAACGAAGCGAGGUAAGCAUUUUCUCUGGGUCAGGUAACGGCUCUGAUGCCAGAACCCAAGGCUCCUGACCUCUGGUUAACGGUCUGUCUACUAACCCAGCGCACAUCCCCUAAGGGUGAUGGGUUGGAGUCUGGCCUUUGACCAUCACAAGCUCCGAGGACAAACUCGCUUAUGCUAUGGGUACUAAGGGACUCAGCGGUCAGCCCAGCGCCCCCUGGACGCACAAACACACACAGACCGGGCCAUGGUAUCCGCCUUUCUAACAGCAGAAAUGAUAGCGGGCCCAGCUGGUCUCCGAGUACUGGCCCAGCACUCUGCAGGCGCUACCUCACUCCGUCCUAAGGGGCAGGAGUUGUCACCAAUCCCACUUUCCAGAUGAAGGAAAUGAGGCUCUCCUCGCAGGGAGCAGAACUCAGACAAAGGUGCGCACCCGCAAGGCUUACCACUUGGUACCACGUCGACCUAGUUCAACACUCAAGGUAAAUAUGGCCCCUGAGAAGCCACCUGAACCCCUUCCCUCCACGAGAUGGCCUGCAGGACCCUAACCCAGCAUACAGGUCCUGGAAUCUGGGAGUUUUCAAGCCCGAUCAUCUGACCAGCCCUGCAAACUGCAGCCCAGCCCAGGAUGCCAGAGAAGCAGCCACCACAGUCUCCUCACCGUCACUCACCUGGACUCAGGUGACAGCUCAGCUGCCCCACCCUAGGCCACACACGCAUCAUUCCCCACGUGCACCGCCACACAGGCCACCUAAGUUCUCUCUCUCUCUCCUCCUACCACUGCCUCUCACUCCAUCCAGUCCCCAUGAGGCAACCAGGAGAAACCUGGCAAGCUUAAGACCCUUUCAAAACUGGCCAUCAUUUUAGAAAACAAUGGAACUCCUUCAUACGGCCCACAGGGUCGUCCCUGGUUGAGUCUUACAGCCCUCCCACACAGCCAAAGUGUGUUUCUUUCAGCUGGUCUAAAUGUGCACCCCUCUCUCACCUCUGGACCUUUGCACACGCUCCUCCCUUUACCCUAACACGGUUCCCCAACCUCUGCUAACUACUGUAAUCCCUUAGGGCUCGGCUUAAACAUCAGUACUCAUCAGAGGCCUUCCCCAUCACUCUCCCACCCCGGGUCCCAGGGGAGCUCCCUCUUUUCCCUUCUACGAUGCCCCCAUUUCCCUUCUGGAACCCUUACUGAGCUUGCUCUUGACUUUUUUUAUAUAUAUCUGUCUCCCUUGCUGGACUAUAAGCCCCAGGAGGGCAGAGACAGCAUCUGCCUUGCUCUUCACUGUGUUGUAUUCUUAACUCCAAGCCCAUUGGCGUCUUGUUCCUAAAGGAGACCAAUAAAUAUCAAAUGAAGAAAGAAAGAAAGGAGGAGAAGAAGGAGAGAAGGAAGAAAGGGGAGGUCUGGUCUUGUAAGAACUGCCUCCCCUUUCUCAGCUGAGCCAACAGAGGCCCUGAGACUGUCUCCAGGGACACUAAGGAGAAGGGGGGCACUUAGGCGCGUUUCUAGGUGCCAGGCAUUUCAUGGUGCCUCAUUUAAUCCUCACAGCGACAUUAGGAGCAGAGGCCAUCCCUAGCCCUGGUUGAGGAAUCUGGGGAUCAGAGAGCUGAAGCAAUUUGUCCAAGGUCACACAGCUAAUGAGCGACAGCACUGAGAACUCAAUUCAGGUCUGAAAUCAAAGACUGGGCUUUUAACCAACCCCGUACCCUGCCUCCUGGGAAGAUCCAAAUGGUCAGCUAGGAUCUUCUGCGUCCAAGCCCAAUUUUACUGAGAAAUAAAAUGAACGUGAAACUGCCUCUCUGAAGUGGAAGGAAAAGUAGUUUCAUCUUGAAAACCUUAAAAUAUAUUCACAUGAAGCCCCAAGCAAUCACUCCUAAGGAAGCUAAACCUCCCACAUCACCUGUUAUCUGAGCUAGAGAAGGGAAGUAAAAUUUUCACUUGUCAAGUGUGUAAGCCAGGAAGAUAAGGAAGGUUAGAGACGCGUGUG
Long non-coding RNA from Canis lupus familiaris (dog), 3234 nucleotides. RefSeq lists it as uncharacterized. The record is from RefSeq and is a predicted model, not a curated record. NCBI's taxonomy places the organism in Eukaryota, Metazoa, Chordata, Mammalia, Carnivora, Canidae. The transcript is spliced from 4 exons.